Molecule: ribosomal RNA, 156 nt
Filed under: Mucor circinelloides
Lineage: Eukaryota; Fungi; Mucoromycota; Mucoromycetes; Mucorales; Mucoraceae
Description: 5.8S ribosomal RNA
Rfam family: 5.8S ribosomal RNA
About the family: 5.8S ribosomal RNA (5.8S rRNA) is a component of the large subunit of the eukaryotic ribosome. It is transcribed by RNA polymerase I as part of the 45S precursor that also contains 18S and 28S rRNA.
Source: RNAcentral
CAACUUUUAACAACGGAUCUCUUGGUUCUCGCAUCGAUGAAGAACGUAGCAAAGUGCGAUAACUAAUGUGAAUUGCAUAUUCAGUGAAUCAUCGAGUCUUUGAACGCAACUUGCGCUCAUUGGUAUUCCAAUGAGCACGCCUGUUUCAGUAUCAAA